Molecule: unclassified non-coding RNA, 1897 nt
Filed under: uncultured fungus
Lineage: Eukaryota; Fungi
Description: sequence contains 18S rRNA gene, ITS1, 5.8S rRNA gene, ITS2, 28S rRNA gene
Rfam family: Eukaryotic large subunit ribosomal RNA (bases 776-1897)
Source: RNAcentral
GGAAGGAUCAUUAGAGGUUUUUUACUCUUUUUCUCUUAAAAUUCUCCCCACGGCGUUUGUCUUGGAGUGGAGCUUUUAUUGCUUCAUAGGGAACGCUAAGUCUGCUAUUUUUUGUUACGUUUAAGUAGCAGGCUUUACAUUGUCCAUAAACAUAACACCAAACCAUUUUUACAAAUACACCAUUUUUUUUGUUACCUUAUUUAAAAUACAACUCUUAACGGUGGAUGACUCGGCUUCCGUAUCGAUGAAGAACGUAGCAAACUGCGAUAAGUGAUGGAAAUUGCAGAAUACUUCGACUCAUCGAAUCUUUGAACGCAACCUGCGCCCGGGGGUCCCCCCUCGGGCGUGCUUGUUUGAGCUCGGUUUCCAUUAUCACAAUCAACCAUCCAACUCCCUUGACUGGGAGAUGGGGUCUUGAGGGUUUUACACGGCGCCCUCUUCGGAGGGAGGGGUAAUCUCUUUAAAUUCAGUGUUAGGUGGCAGAGGAAAACAAACAAAAAAAACAAAGUCAUCUUUGCUUUUUUUUUUGUUUGUUUUCCCCCCGUUCCUUUUUUUUUGGAGUACUUGCUUCAAAAGGGGGAGCCUUAUCCUUCAUUUUUCUUUCCGUUGGAUAAAGAGAGGAAUGUCAGUUCUACUCGACGUCUCAACGGGCUCAUAAAGAACUUGGAGGGCUCAAUAAGGUAGGUGGGGAAACUUCCUUCUGUAACUUCCUAUGAGGAGACUUAAGAGUGGCGAGCUUGCUCGCUUGUACUUAAGAGAAACUUUUUUUCUUUCACUGACUCAAAUCAAGCACGAUCACCCGCUGAAUUUAAGCAUAUAAUUAGGCGGAGGAAAAGAAAAUAACAAUGAUUCCCUCAGUAAUGGCGAAUGAACAGGGAACAGCUCAUCCUGAACCUGUGGGGACUAGUCUCCUCACCGGAAUGUAGGGUGUCGACCGGCCUUAGUGAGUCUUUGUCUCCGACAGAAAUCCCUUGGAACAGGGUACCAUAGAGGGUGAGAGUCCCGUAUGUCAUUAAGGAGAUGGGGGUUUACGACCUUAGGUUGGAUCGUAGAGUCGAGUUGUUUGGGAGUACAACUCUAAUUGGGUGAUAAACUUCACCUAAAGCUAAAUACCAACGGAAGACCGAUAGCGAACAAGUACCGCGAGGGAAAGUUGAAAAGAACUUUGAAAAGAGAGUUAAAUAGUACCUGAAACCGUUAAGAGGUAAGCGAUCGGCACCAUCGAGUUUUGUAAGGUUCUUGGCUAUUCAGCUUUGGAACGUGUAGAGUCUAGUGACCUGAGUUGGUCUUCGGAUUCACCAGUGUCGUCUGAUUCGAAUCGGGAGAAAGUGCACUUAGUCGGGGACUUAUAGUUUCAGGGUCGUUCAAACGGGGGGAAAGCCAAUAAAAAGGUGAUUCUUUGGAGGUACAUGAUCGAUGAAUCAUGGAAACUCGGGGCUGUCUUCCUACCCUUCGAUUGAACGAGGGCCCCAAAAGGGGCAGGAGUGGGGGCCUUCUUGGCGAGGGAUUGCUGCAAUGGCUGCAACCUAAGUCCGGAACUCACUCUCGAUCUCUGAAUUUAGAUGGAAUUGAUCGUCCCGUCUUGAAACACGGACCAAGGAGUGCACUUGAUAGGCGAGUCUUAGGGUGGUUAAAACCCGAGGGCGAAAUGAAAGUGAACACACACCUGAAACCUUUUAAAUAAGGGACUGCAAGGUGGACCCAUACUGUCUUACGAGGCAGUAUUGGAGUAAGAGCCUAUCGCGUGCGACCCGAAAGGUGGCGAACUAUGCCCGUGUAGAAUGAAGCCAGAAGAAAUUCUGGUGGAAGUUCGUAGCGGUAUUGACGUGCAAAUCAUUCGUCAAACAUGGGUAUAGCGGCGAAAGACUAAUCGAGCCGCCUAGUAGCUGGUUCCCUC